UCAGGGAAGAACACAAUGACGGUACCUGAUGAAUCAGCAUCGGCUAACUCCGUGCCAGCAGCCGCGGUAAUACGGAGGAUGCAAGCGUUAUCCGGAAUUAUUGGGCGUAAAGCGUCCGCAGGUGGUUUUGAAAGUUUGCUGUCAAAGCGCGAGGCUCAACUUCGUAUCGGCGGUGAAAACUUCAAGACUAGAGCUAGGUAGGGGUCACGGGAAUUCCCAGUGUAGCGGUGAAAUGCGUAGAUAUUGG
RNAcentral lists this ribosomal RNA (247 nucleotides) under uncultured Leptolyngbya sp. RNAcentral describes it as "partial 16S ribosomal RNA". It matches the Rfam family "Bacterial small subunit ribosomal RNA", at positions 439 to 700 of the family's 1533-position model. Lineage: Bacteria; Bacillati; Cyanobacteriota; Cyanophyceae; Leptolyngbyales; Leptolyngbyaceae. The record is from RNAcentral.